This 506-nucleotide ribosomal RNA is filed under the name uncultured bacterium. Its description in RNAcentral is "partial 16S ribosomal RNA". It matches the Rfam family "Bacterial small subunit ribosomal RNA", at positions 29 to 523 of the family's 1533-position model. The record is from RNAcentral.
AGUGAACGCUGGCGGUAGGCCUAACACAUGCAAGUCGAAUGGCAGCACAGGAGAGCUUGCUCUCUGGGUGGCGAGUGGCGGACGGGUGAGGAAUACAUCGGAAUCUACGCUGUCGUGGGGGAUAACGUAGGGAAACUUACGCUAAUACCGCAUACGACCUACGGGUGAAAGCAGGGGACCUUCGGGCCUUGCGCGGUUGAAUGAGCCGAUGUCGGAUUAGCUAGUUGGCGGGGUAAAGGCCCACCAAGGCGACGAUCCGUAGCUGGUCUGAGAGGAUGAUCAGCCACACUGGAACUGAGACACGGUCCAGACUCCUACGGGAGGCAGCAGUGGGGAAUAUUGGACAAUGUGCGCAAGCCUGAUCCAGCCAUACCGCGUGGGUGAAGAAGGCCUUCGGGUUGUAAAGCCCUUUUGUUGGGAAAGAAAUCCAGCUGGCUAAUACCCGGUUGGGAUGACGGUACCCAAAGAAUAAGCACCGGCUAACUUCGUGCCAGCCGCCGCCGUAA